AGUGGGGAAUAUUGCACAAUGGGCGCAAGCCUGAUGCAGCCAUGCCGCGUGUGUGAAGAAGGCCUUCGGGUUGUAAAGCACUUUCAGUCGUGAGGAAGGCGGGUACGUUAAUAGCGUAUUCGUUUGACGUUAGCGACAGAAGAAGCACCGGCUAACUCCGUGCCAGCAGCCGCGGUAAUACGGAGGGUGCGAGCGUUAAUCGGAAUUACUGGGACGUAAAGCGCAUGCAGGUGGUUUGUUAAGUCAGAUGUAGAAAGCCCCGGGCUCAACCUCGGAAUAGCUAUUUAGAAACUGGCAGACUAGAGUACUGUAGAGGGGGUAGAAUUUCAGGUGUAGCGGUGAAAUGCGUAGAGAUCUGAAGGAAUACCGGUGGCGAAGGCGGCCCCCUGGACAGAUACUGACACUCAGAUGCGAAAGCGUGGGGAGCAAACAGGAUUAGAUACCCUGGUAG
This 451-nucleotide ribosomal RNA is filed under the name uncultured bacterium. Its description in RNAcentral is "bacterial SSU rRNA". It matches the Rfam family "Bacterial small subunit ribosomal RNA", at positions 353 to 793 of the family's 1533-position model. The record is from RNAcentral.